UACGGAGGGGGCUAGCGUUGUUCGGAAUUACUGGGCGUAAAGCGCGCGUAGGCGGACCUGCAAGUCGGGGGUGAAAACCCGGGGCUCAACUCCGGGCCUGCAGUCGAUACGGGCUGGCUUGAGUGCGGUAGGGGAGACUGGAAUUCCUGGUGUAGCGGUGAAAUGCGCAGAUAUCAGGAAGAACACCCGUGGCUAAGGCGGCUCUCUAGUACGGUACUGACGCUGAGACGCGAAAGCGUGGGGAGCGAACAGG
This 253-nucleotide ribosomal RNA is filed under the name uncultured bacterium. RNAcentral describes it as "partial 16S ribosomal RNA". It matches the Rfam family "Bacterial small subunit ribosomal RNA", at positions 524 to 776 of the family's 1533-position model. The record is from RNAcentral.